AUAAAUUAUAUUUACAAUCUAGGAGUUUUAGGACAUAAAUCCCAACAAACUCCCACUUGGACUAAACUCUAGUCACUUUAGGAUAUAAUAAAGUAAUCCUUUGAUACUGGAAAUGAUAAAAUGUACAAGUAUACAACAUAAAACGUAUAUAUACAAAUAUAAUAAACUAAGGCAUCCUCAUACCCAUUACACAUCUCCCACUUGCCCUAGAUUACUUAAUGUACAAAUCUCGUAGACCUAGACUUUCUAGAAGGCCCUCAAACACUUUAGCCAUGAAAGUCUUUGUAAAUGGUUCGGCUUUUGAGCAUAAGAAACUUUAAUAUCACUCAAAAUUGGACCACCCAGUAGUUAGGUGUGAACUUUCGAGGCCUUCGGCACCAUUCUAAGGUAGGCAGUUUCUUUUUAGGCCAUUGGCUCUUUCUUCGCCGUUUUGGGACGAAACCAAAAAACUGAGUCUGGGGCAUCACCGUUCUGCUUUUGUGGGUAAGAAACUUCAAUAUCACUUAAAAUCGGAUCACCUAGUAGUUAGAUGUGAACUUUCGAUGCCUCCAGCACCGUUCUAAGUUGGGUCGUUUCUUUCUAGGCCAUUGCCCCUUUCUUCGGCGUUUUAGGACGAAACCAAAAAACUAAGUUUGGGGCAUCACCCUUCGGCUUUUGUGGGCAAGAAACUUCAAUAUCACUCAAAAUCGGAGUACCCAGUAGUUCGAUGUGAACUUUCGAGGCCUCUGGCACCACUCUCAGUUGGGUCGUUUCUUUCUAGGCCAUUAGCCCUUUCUUCGGCGUUAUGGGAUGGAACCAAAAAACUGAGUUUAGGGCAUCAUUGCCCCGCUAACAUCAAAAAAAUGGCCAAUGUGAUGGCCUAGAAGGAAAUCAUCCAACUUAGAACAGUGUCAAAGGUUUCGAAAGCUCGAAUCUAACUAUUGGGUGAUCACAUUUUGAGGAAUAUGAAAGUUUUUUGUCCAAAAAAGUCAAACAAUGAUGCCCCAAACUAAGUUUUUUGGUUCCGUCCCAAAUUGUCGAAAAAAGGGCCAAUGCGAUGGCCUAGAAGGAAACAACCCAACUUAGAACAGUGCCAAAGGUCUCGAAAGAUCGCAUCUAACUACUAGGUGGUUUCAUUUUGAGUAAUAUGAAAGUUUUGUCCCACAAAAUCUGAACGGUGAUGUCCAGACUCAGUUUUUUUGGUUCCAUCCCAAAACAUCGAAAAAAGGGCCAAUGCAAUGGCCUAGAAGGAAACAACCCAACUUAGAAUAGUGCCAAAGAUCUCGAAAGCUCGCAUCGAACUACUGGGUGGUCUCAUUUUGACUAAUAUAAAAGUUUUUUGCCCAUAAAAGCCGAAUGGUGAUGCCCUAGACUCAGUCUUUUGGUUCCGUCCCAAAACGUUGAAAAAAGGGCCAAUGCGAUGGAAACUAAAAUUAUGUACACUCAUCUAGAGACUCAUGCACACGGGGAUAGAUUACAGUAAAAUGGAGGAUUGUGUGAACUAACUUGCGUUAAGAAAGCGGUAAAGGAAUAUCUCAUAUUAUGAUGCAAGUAAGUUGUAUCACCUCACUAUGGUAUAACUCAUCAAGCUAUCUUAUGUUUAAUGCGCGCUCCUCUUAGAAUAAUUAAAUGUCACACUUGGUUUUCUUUCAGAAUCCAAAUUACUAAGAUUAGAUAAAUGAUUUAUAUGUAGAAAUACCUAUUUAUUCUGCUUAGAGUGCUUCUCAUUUAAACACAACAACCUCUUGGCGUCUUGGUCCACACUUGUUUGCCUCACGAAAUAAAAAUGAUGGAAGUCCUCUCACAAGGUUGAGCGACCUCUACCUUACAUGUGUUAGCCAUGUCCUUUCUACUCACCCUCUCGGGUAGUUGGCGACAUACACUGGACCAAGUGUGGAGUGUAGCUUAGUUAACAGUAAGCAGUAGAAAUACGUACUACUUAAUUAAAGUUCACAUACCUAACUACAAAUAACAUGAAAACAAGUGAAUAAUAUAGGCAUGGAUGGAUUGAGAAAUGUAUAAAUAUACAUUAUAUUCAAGAAUGAAGGUCUUCGGCCAUUAUAUAAUACAACCAAAUACAAUGUAAACAAGUAAUAAACUGGUAAGAGAGAUAAAAUGAAAUACAAGUUAGGGGAAUGAAACACAACUCUUUUCCUCUCAAAAUCUAAGCUUUCGCGUUACACUCUAAUCAGAAAAGAUAAACAAGUGUUGUACAUUCAGUGGCUAGGCUAAUCCUUGCCACCAGCCCUCUAGGUUUUUGCCCCUACAAGUUCCAUUUUUGGCCCAUCCAGGUCCCUCAUGUUUUUGGUGAUGAAGAUGAAGUACUUUUAUAGACAACUUUGGAUGGAAAUCUUCUUUCUUCUAAAAUUUUCAGCGCCAACUUUGGUCCUAUGAAGUCACAUCACUUGAACUACCAUUCUAGCAAGCUUUCCUCACGUGAUGAUGUGGUUCCUCGACUAGAGGUGUUAUUCGCUAAAAAAGUUCCCAUCGCGUUAUUUGUCUGCGAGUUGUCCUUAGUGAUUUGCUACUUUUUUGUCCACUUAUGUUGUAUUUAAACAUGACAACAACGUAAAACAAACAUGAUACUUAUGUAAGAUGUAUUUCUGAAUACUUAUAUAUUUACAACUUAAGUCACACGCCCUAAUAAACUUCUUAUAUGUUUUGACCUCAUUAUUCUAAUAAAAGAGGUUAUAAUAAUGGGUAUUUAUACACGUUAUUACACCAAAGGAACAAAAGUUUGUAAGCAAAAUUAUGAAAAAAUCCAAAGUCAGCAAAACACACAUAACAAAGCACAAUCAGUAUUCUGUGUUAAAACUCAAAGGAAAUCGGGUCAAUCUUGAUCAAGAACAGUAUGACUUACCAAUUGAACUUGGGCAACAUUCAUUCAAGAUGCUUAAAAAACUCGUUCAAAUAAAUUUAUCUAUCCAUCUUGGUGAAGAUUGUGUGUUUUGUUAAAUUAAUGACCAAAAUAUCCUUGAAGGUUCGAACGUUAGAUAUUCUCACAAAACUCUAAAUCUUGGACACUUUGUUCAUUUUGCUAGAGAACUAAAUGAGAUUGCUCCCAAAAUUGAACAAAUUUCUCUGAUUUUUGUUGUGCAAAAUUUGAAGAAGUCAUCAUCGAACUUAAAUCUGUGAAGGUGAAGUACUUUGAAUGGUUACAUAGUUUAGGGUUUAGUUUUUAGUUUUAAAUCUGAGGCAGACAUGAAACUUUGUAGUUGGUGUUCUAAUAUAGUUGGAUGUGAACUAAAGUUUAAGUUAUUGGAGGUGGUUUCAUUCAGAUAAAUCUUGACAAUAUCAUCAAUCUAGGCCCAUGCAUAGAAGGAAUCUCAGUCGAGAUAUAUGAAAUUGCCUCAAGAUUCGUUGAAGGAGUCCCGAGAUCUUAUGCAUUUCACAUGCAUUUUCUAGGGUAAUCCCGGUGACGAUUUCACCCGAGAUUGGACAAGAUACAUCAUAAAAUGUACGUAAAACCUUUAUCUUGUGUCAUCCCGAUGCAAUGUUGUAUGAGUUCAAUUGGCAAUUCAUGUUGAUCUCAUCGAGAUUUCCACAAGGUUGCCUCGAGUUUUAACACAUAAUACUGAUUGUGCUUUGUUACAUGUAUUUUCUAUUCUGCAGAUGCCUCUUGUCACAAAAAUUAACUUUGAGGACUUUAUCUUAGCUAACUUAACAUGUUGUUCACACUUAGUAAAGACAGUGUCAAACAUAAAAAAGAAGUUAACACCUAAGGAGAUUUACAUGUUUAAAAAACAACCCUAUUUGGUCAUUUCCUGGAUGUGAAGUUGGUGUUCAAUGUACCACUUUGCCACUACAUCCUCUUAAGAGAGGUAAAAGACGAAUGGGAUGACGUUAUCUCUUUAAAAUUACUCGGUUAAAAGGUCUCCUUUAGGAGGAAGAAUUUUGAUACCAUCAUGGGAUUGAGGUUUAGGUCGAGAUGUCCCAUUCAGUUUGAGGAGGAUAAAGCUCUGAGGUUAAGACGCUUGUACCUAGGUGAUAGGUCAAACAUGAAUGGAUCGGAGUUAGACAAAAAGUACCCAACCCUAAAUUUUGAAAGCGACAUGGAUACCGAGAAGAUGUCUCUCUUCUAUUUCAUUGAAUUAGCCAUGGUGGGGAGGAAGAAUAGGCAACAUAUGGACUGGACCAUAUUAGGCCUCAUCGAGGACUUGGAUGAGCUAUGACUGAGGCGAGUUGAUAUGGAUCAAGACCCUAGGUAGCUUGAACGGAGCACUAAGAGGAAAGGUUGCCAUGCAUAAGAAGAAACCCAACCCCCAAAUAAAAAGUAUAUGGAGUCCUAUAACCUAUAUGGCUUUCCCUUUGUCUUUCAGGUUUGACCGUAUGGGAUAGUGUCGUUCAUAAGUAGACGAGUAGCCAAUAAAGCUUCGCAUGAUACGAUACCAUGCACCAUGCGAUGGAGUUGCACUUACUCACCUGGGUUGAAGGUGAUCAUUGAGUCACAAGUCUUUGGGUCAUAAACGGCCCAUAUAUAAUUGAUUGAGCCCAUGGAUGAGAAGCUUGCAUACCUAGAUCGAGUUCUUGAUAUCUCUUCUACGGAAGGUUUUGAGGAUAACCUCAAUGCUCCUCUUUGAGAUGAUGAUGCUCCCCCUUCCCAUCCUCAUGUCCAAUAUAAAGUUCCACAUCAUGCCCAUCCUCACGGCCAACAUCAACUUCCACUUCUCGCCCAUCCUAAUGAGGAUAUAACCCCAAUGUCUAAAGCAAAGACAUUGGUGGGCCUUCGGCAUGUAUGGAUCUUGGGGUGGAAGCAUGUGAGGACCACUUGGACUCCAAAAUGUACGAGAUUGAGUUCAAGUUGGACUGCAUGGACUCUAUAUUAUGUUGGAUUUUUUGCCCUCAAUCUCAAAUUAAUUAAUAUUUUGAUGAUAACAAAUCUAAAUUUAUUUGUUGACGAUUUUAUUAUUUUGAAUAAUCCAUAACGUAGAGCUUAGAAUAGUGAUUUUGAUGCC
Cucumis sativus (cucumber) is the source of this 4934-nucleotide long non-coding RNA. RefSeq lists it as uncharacterized. The transcript is spliced from 3 exons. The record is from RefSeq and is a predicted model, not a curated record. NCBI's taxonomy places the organism in Eukaryota, Viridiplantae, Streptophyta, Magnoliopsida, Cucurbitales, Cucurbitaceae.